UGAAAACACUGGUGUGUUCGCCAGAGGAAGCCAGACAUGUUGGAGAACAUUUGGUAUGCAGCACACCCAGAAGAACAACAUGUCACUGUGGCCAACACCAAGUAGUGGUUGCUCAUUUUUCUCAGACGAGUGUGAAUCUGCUCCGUAGACAGCAGGUGAUGUCUUCAAUUCUAACAAGGUUGCCAUGUUUGAGGAAAUGUGCUGUGUUGCUGUGCUGAGUGUUACUGCUGUGGAGGUCUAAUGUGACUGUUUAUUGAUGUGGAUUCCAUCAUAUGUGUUCAUUGUUUGUUCAGGAGGUUCACUAGACCAUGCAGCAUUUUGGGUCCCUCUAAGUAAGUACCGUAUAGAAUACAUGAUUCAACUAUUUUUCUAGAGUGAUCAUCUGAGCAAGUCCAUCAGGUGUCAUUCUUUCUCACCAUUCUCUGUCUCCUUUCACUUUUUAAAGGUUGCCAUGUUUGAGGAAAUUUGCUGUUUUGCUGUGCUGAGUGUUACUGCUGUGGAGGUCUAAGGUGACUGUUUAUUGAUGUGAUGAGUACAUAGACAGUACAUAGUACAUACACCUCUAUUCCUCUCUGUCCUAAUUUCAGGAUCCCAUCAUACGUUGUACAUUGUUCAGGAGGUUAACUAGACCAAGCAGCCUUUAGGUUUCCGCUAAGUACUGUAUAGAAUAACGUGAUUGGGAGGAUGGUAUAGGUUUAAGUUUAUUAGACAAGUACAUAUACAUCAACAAGACAGUGUACAAGCAUUGUCACAAGAAAGUUUGUUUUCAUUCAUAGUCUUGUCUUUCCAUCAAUACCUGGUGGGCCGGUCUCGGCUCAAAAUGCCCGGGCCAAUUUUCUGUCCCAGUCCAGCCCUGGUAAAUUCAGUCAAUAAAUAC
Molecule: long non-coding RNA, 877 nt
Filed under: Sparus aurata (gilthead seabream)
Lineage: Eukaryota; Metazoa; Chordata; Actinopteri; Spariformes; Sparidae
Description: lncRNA (ENSSAUG00010010679.1)
Source: RNAcentral